This 488-nucleotide ribosomal RNA is filed under the name Bacillus amyloliquefaciens. RNAcentral's name for it is "bacterial SSU rRNA". It matches the Rfam family "Bacterial small subunit ribosomal RNA", at positions 82 to 555 of the family's 1533-position model. The record is from RNAcentral. Lineage: Bacteria; Bacillati; Bacillota; Bacilli; Caryophanales; Bacillaceae.
CUCCCUGAUGUUAGCGGCGGACGGGUGAGUAACACGUGGGUAACCUGCCUGUAAGACUGGGAUAACUCCGGGAAACCGGGGCUAAUACCGGAUGCUUGUUUGAACCGCAUGGUUCAAACAUAAAAGGUGGCUUCGGCUACCACUUACAGAUGGACCCGCGGCGCAUUAGCUAGUUGGUGAGGUAACGGCUCACCAAGGCGACGAUGCGUAGCCGACCUGAGAGGGUGAUCGGCCACACUGGGACUGAGACACGGCCCAGACUCCUACGGGAGGCAGCAGUAGGGAAUCUUCCGCAAUGGACGAAAGUCUGACGGAGCAACGCCGCGUGAGUGAUGAAGGUUUUCGGAUCGUAAAGCUCUGUUGUUAGGGAAGAACAAGUGCCGUUCAAAUAGGGCGGCACCUUGACGGUACCUAACCAGAAAGCCACGGCUAACUACGUGCCAGCAGCCGCGGUAAUACGUAGGUGGCAAGCGUUGUCCGGAAUUAUU